RNAcentral lists this transfer RNA (71 nucleotides) under Heliconius melpomene (postman butterfly). Its description in RNAcentral is "tRNA HMEL010256". It matches the Rfam family "tRNA". From Rfam's summary of the family: Transfer RNA (tRNA) molecules are approximately 80 nucleotides in length. Their secondary structure includes four short double-helical elements and three loops (D, anti-codon, and T loops). Further hydrogen bonds mediate the characteristic L-shaped molecular structure. tRNAs have two regions of fundamental functional importance: the anti-codon, which is responsible for specific mRNA codon recognition, and the 3' end, to which the tRNAs corresponding amino acid is attached (by aminoacyl-tRNA synthetases). tRNAs cope with the degeneracy of the genetic code in two manners: having more than one tRNA (with a specific anti-codon) for a particular amino acid; and 'wobble' base-pairing, i.e. permitting non-standard base-pairing at the 3rd anti-codon position. The record is from RNAcentral. Lineage: Eukaryota; Metazoa; Arthropoda; Insecta; Lepidoptera; Nymphalidae.
GCAUCGGUGGUUCAGUGGUAGAAUGCUCGCUUGCCACGCGGGCAGCCUGGGUUCAAUUCCCGGCCGAUGCA